CAGCAGCCGCGGUAAUACAGAGGGUGCGAGCGUUAAUCGGAUUUACUGGGCGUAAAGCGUGCGUAGGCGGCUUUUUAAGUCGGAUGUGAAAUCCCUGAGCUUAACUUAGGAAUUGCAUUCGAUACUGGGAAGCUAGAGUAUGGGAGAGGAUGGUAGAAUUCCAGGUGUAGCGGUGAAAUGCGUAGAGAUCUGGAGGAAUACCGGUGGCGAAGGCGGCCCCCUGGACAAAGACUGACGCUCAUGCACGAAAGCGUGGGGAGCAAACAGGAUUAGAUACCCCUGUAGUCCCUGUCUCUUAUAA
RNAcentral lists this ribosomal RNA (301 nucleotides) under uncultured bacterium. RNAcentral describes it as "partial 16S ribosomal RNA". It matches the Rfam family "Bacterial small subunit ribosomal RNA", at positions 509 to 809 of the family's 1533-position model. The record is from RNAcentral.